AGAGUUUGAUCCUGGCUCAGGAUGAACGCUAGCGGCAGGCUUAAUACAUGCAAGUCGAGGGGCAGCAGGACUGUAGCAAUACAGUUGCUGGCGACCGGCAAACGGGUGCGGAACACGUACGCAACCUACCCAUAACUGGGGAAUAGCCCGGGGAAACCCGGAUUAAUACCCCGUAACAUAAUGAGAUGGCAUCGUCUUAUUAUUAUAGAUACGUCGGUUAUGGAUGGGCGUGCGCCCUGAUUAGGUAGUUGGCGGAGUAAUAGCCCACCAAGCCUACGAUCAGUAACUGGUGUGACAGCACGACCAGUCACACGGGCACUGAGACACGGGCCCGACUCCUACGGGAGGCAGCAGUAAGGAAUAUUGGUCAAUGGACGCAAGUCUGAACCAGCCAUGCCG
Molecule: ribosomal RNA, 399 nt
Filed under: uncultured bacterium
Lineage: Bacteria
Description: bacterial SSU rRNA
Rfam family: Bacterial small subunit ribosomal RNA
Source: RNAcentral